This 117-nucleotide ribosomal RNA is filed under the name Ignavibacteria bacterium GWF2_33_9. Lineage: Bacteria; Pseudomonadati; Ignavibacteriota; Ignavibacteria. The record is from RNAcentral.
CUUGGUGGUUGUAGAGUGAAGGGUACACCUCUUCCCAUUCCGAACAGAGUAGUUAAGCUUCACUUCUCCGAUGGUACUGCUUGGGCAGCCUUGUGGGAGAGUAGGUCGCUGCCAAGC